CUAGGCUUGACAUCCCUUUGCAAAGUCCUUAACCGGACUCCUUUUCUUCGGAAGACAAAGGUGACAGGUGGUGCAUGGUUGUCGUCAGCUCGUGUCGUGAGAUGUUGGGUUAAGUCCCGCAACGAGCGCAACCCCUAUUUUUAGUUGCCAUCAGUUAGGCUGGGCACUCUAGAAAGACUGCCGAGGACAACUCGGAGGAAGGUGGGGAUGACGUCAAAUCAUCAUGCCCCUUAUGCUUAGGGCUACACACGUGCUACAAUGGCUGUUACAAAGGGCUGCGAGACCGCGAGGUGGAGCCAAUCCCAGAAAAACAGUCUAAGUUCGGAUUGUAGGCUGAA
Molecule: ribosomal RNA, 338 nt
Filed under: uncultured bacterium
Lineage: Bacteria
Description: bacterial SSU rRNA
Rfam family: Bacterial small subunit ribosomal RNA
Source: RNAcentral